RNAcentral lists this ribosomal RNA (423 nucleotides) under uncultured bacterium. RNAcentral's name for it is "bacterial SSU rRNA". It matches the Rfam family "Bacterial small subunit ribosomal RNA", at positions 358 to 773 of the family's 1533-position model. The record is from RNAcentral.
GGAAUAUUGGACAAUGGGCGAAAGCCUGAUCCAGCCAUGCCGCGUGAGUGAAGAAGGCCUUAGGGUUGUAAAGCUCUUUCAGUCGGGAAGAAACGGGUCGCUCUAAUAUGGCGAUCUAAUGACGGUGCCGACAGAAGAAGCACCGGCUAACUACGUGCCAGCAGCCGCGGUAAUACGUAGGGUGCGAGCGUUAAUCGGAAUUACUGGGCGUAAAGCGUGCGCAGGCGGUUGUGUAAGACAGGUGUGAAAUCCCCGGGCUUAACCUGGGAACUGCGCUUGUGACUGCACGGCUAGAGUACGGCAGAGGGGGGUGGAAUUCCACGUGUAGCAGUGAAAUGCGUAGAUAUGUGGAGGAACACCGAUGGCGAAGGCAGCCCCCUGGGCCGAUACUGACGCUCAUGCACGAAAGCGUGGGGAGCAAAC